This 67-nucleotide transfer RNA is filed under the name Pyrops clavatus. RNAcentral describes it as "tRNA-Leu". Lineage: Eukaryota; Metazoa; Arthropoda; Insecta; Hemiptera; Fulgoridae. The record is from RNAcentral.
UCUAAGAGUGGCAGAAAAUUGCCAUGAACUUAAAAUUCAUUCAUAAACAAAAUUAAUUUCCUUAGAA